Molecule: non-coding RNA, 100 nt
Organism: Acanthosepion pharaonis
Lineage: Eukaryota; Metazoa; Mollusca; Cephalopoda; Sepiida; Sepiidae
Source: the annotation of a GenBank genome assembly
CGUUGAAACACCUGUUCCAAUAUGAUCACCGAAGUUAAGCAACGUCGAGCCUGGUCACUACUUUGAUGAAUGACCGCUUCGGGAUGCUAGAUAUUGUAAG